This 253-nucleotide ribosomal RNA is filed under the name uncultured bacterium. RNAcentral describes it as "partial 16S ribosomal RNA". It matches the Rfam family "Bacterial small subunit ribosomal RNA", at positions 524 to 776 of the family's 1533-position model. The record is from RNAcentral.
UACAGAGGCCUCGAGCGUUAGGCGGAAUCACUGGGCUUAAAGCGUGUGUAGGCGGAUUUCUAAGUACCUUGUGAAAUCCCACGGCUCAACCGUGGAACUGCUUGGUAUACUGGUUAUCUUGAGCCACCUAGGGGCCUGCGGAACAGAUGGUGGAGCGGUGAAAUGCGUAGAUAUCAUCUGGAACGCCAACGGUGAAAACAGCAGGCUGGGGGUGUGCUGACGCUGAGACGCGAAAGCGUGGGGAGCGAACAGG